RNAcentral lists this microRNA precursor (89 nucleotides) under Notamacropus eugenii (tammar wallaby). RNAcentral describes it as "miRNA (ENSMEUG00000016853.1)". Lineage: Eukaryota; Metazoa; Chordata; Mammalia; Diprotodontia; Macropodidae. The record is from RNAcentral.
UAUAUACGUGUGCAUGUGUAUAUAUGUAUACACACAUAUGUAUAUGUGUGUAAAUAUACAUACAUGUAUAUAUUAUACAGACGUGUGUG